UGCAGUCGAGCGGAACGAGUUAUCUGAACCUUCGGGGGACGAUAACGGCGUCGAGCGGCGGACGGGUGAGUAAUGCCUAGGAAAUUGCCCUGAUGUGGGGGAUAACCAUUGGAAACGAUGGCUAAUACCGCAUGAUGCCUACGGGCCAAAGAGGGGGACCUUCGGGCCUCUCGCGUCAGGAUAUGCCUAGGUGGGAUUAGCUAGUUGGUGAGGUAAGGGCUCACCAAGGCGACGAUCCCUAGCUGGUCUGAGAGGAUGAUCAGCCACACUGGAACUGAGACACGGUCCAGACUCCUACGGGAGGCAGCAGUGGGGAAUAUUGCACAAUGGGCGCAAGCCUGAUGCAGCCAUGCCGCGUGUGUGAAGAAGGCCUUCGGGUUGUAAAGCACUUUCAGUCGUGAGGAAGGUGGUGUAGUUAAUAGCUGUAUUAUUUGACGUUAGCGACAGAAGAAGCACCGGCUAACUCCGUGCCAGCAGCCGCGGUAAUACGGAGGGUGCGAGCGUUAAUCGGAAUUACUGGGCGUAAAGCGCAUGCAGGUGGUUUGUUAAGUCAGAUGUGAAAGCCCGGGGCUCAACCUCGGAAUAGCAUUUGAAACUGGCAGACUAGAGUACUGUAGAGGGGGGUAGAAUUUCAGGUGUAGCGGUGAAAUGCGUAGAGAUCUGAAGGAAUACCGGUGGCGAARGCGGCCCCCUGGACAGAUACUGACACUCAGAUGCGAAAGCGUGGGGAGCAAACAGGAUUAGAUACCCUGGUAGUCCACGCCGUAAACGAUGUCUACUUGGAGGUUGUGGCCUUGAGCCGUGGCUUUCGGAGCUAACGCGUUAAGUAGACCGCCUGGGGGAGUACGGUCGCAAGAUUAAAACUCAAAUGAAUUGACGGGGCCCGCACAGCGGUGGAGCAUGUGGUUUACUCGAUGCACACGAUAACUACUACUCUGACAUCAGAAACUUCAGAGAUGGAUGKGCUCGGGACUCUGAGACAGGGCUGCAUGCUGUCGUC
Molecule: ribosomal RNA, 1000 nt
Filed under: Vibrio sp.
Lineage: Bacteria; Pseudomonadati; Pseudomonadota; Gammaproteobacteria; Vibrionales; Vibrionaceae
Description: bacterial SSU rRNA
Rfam family: Bacterial small subunit ribosomal RNA
Source: RNAcentral